UCCAAGCAGUGGUGCUACAGGGAAGAGGCAUUUCCCUGACUCACUGUCAUGUCCUCAGGCUGUGAUCUGCACCGCCUGGCCCACUCCGCUUCAGGUCGCAGCCAGAGCUUUAAGGGAAAAGCUGGGAAGGUGAAAGGUCUUUCUAGUUCUAGCAAUGACCUCCCAAGCCUGUCUGCUGCCUGGUUUGCUGUGAACAGAGGGCGCUGGCUGCAGACCCCAGGUUAUGGAGGGACCAAAGGUCACUGCAUUGGCCAGGUGUCCGCUCCUCAGCCCUAAAAAAAAGAGCUGUGGGGCAGUCCCUGGGUGAUGGUGAGCAGGCUCCUGCAGAAAACCUGCUGGGGCAUGUGGAACACUGAUGUGACCUUCUGUGGAAACAACCAAGCACAGCACAUGUAUGGUCAUGGACAAGUCUUGUCCCAGAAGAGGUAUGGGACAGCUGGUUCCUGGACUUCUUUAGGAAUCGUUACACCUCCUGUCUCUGAGCUAGAGUCCCAUCUCUGAGCCAAUCCAGUGCCUGCAUCAGAGGUAGCUAUCAUAUUCCCAGCUCUCUUCCUGGCUGCAAUUACCUCUCCAGAAGGAUCCCACCCCAAACAAGCCCUAGCCCUACCACAGAAGCAGAGCUCAAGACGACACGAAGUCUGUGCUAUUGCAAGGCUCUGAGCCAAGGGCUGGAGAGUGGUGUAAGUCUCUAAGAUAGACCAUGAGUCACCAUCCACCAACCAGAAGAAAAGAUGUUCCUCAUGCUGUAAAAGGCACACUGCAACUAAUAAAUACUGUGAUCGCAUUUAGCAAGAUAGCAUGGUGACUUCACAUGCUUUGAUAUUAAAAAAAAAUCCCAGCGAUGCUGUGGAAACUUCAGCUCCUUCUUUUGUCUGUGCGCUCAUGUAAGAGACUUGUUUUCCCAUGCAGUUGAGUAAUUAAAUACAGUGUCUCAAAUCCUG
Molecule: long non-coding RNA, 941 nt
Organism: Cygnus olor (mute swan)
Lineage: Eukaryota; Metazoa; Chordata; Aves; Anseriformes; Anatidae
Exons: 3
Source: RefSeq, a predicted model, not a curated record